AGUUUGAUCAUGGCUUAGAUUGAACGCUGGCGGCAGGCUUAACACAUACAAGUCGAACGGUAGCAGGAGGAAGCUUGCUUUCUCGCUGACGAGCGGCGGUACGGGUGAGUAAUCGCUUGGGAAUCUGGCUUAUGGAGGGGGAUAACUACGGGAAACUGUAGCUAAUACCGCGUAGUGUCGAGAGACGAAAGUGCGGGACCGCAAGGCCGCAUGCCAUGAGAUGAGCCCAAGUGGGAUUAGGUAGUUGGUGGGGUAAAGGCCUACCAAGCCUGCGAUCUCUAGCUGGUCUGAGAGGAUGGCCAGCCACACUGGAACUGAGACACGGUCCAGACUCCUACGGGAGGCAGCAGUGGGGAAUAUUGCGCAAUGGGGAGAACCCUGACGCAGCCAUGCCGCGUGAAUGAAGAAGGCCUUCGGGUUGUAAAGUUCUUUCGGUAUUGAGGAAGGAGUGUAUGUUAAUAGCAUACAUUAUUGACGUUAAAUACAGAAGAAGCACCGGCUAACUCCGUGCCAGCAGCCGCGGUAAUACGGAGGGUGCGAGCGUUAAUCGGAAUAACUGGGCGUAAAGGGCACGCAGGCGGUUAUUUAAGUGAGGUGUGAAAGCCCCGGGCUUAACCUGGGAAUUGCAUUUCAGACUGGGUAACUAGAGUACUUUAGGGAGGGGUAGAAUUCCACGUGUAGCGGUGAAAUGCGUAGAGAUGUGGAGGAAUACCAAAGGGAAAGGCAGCCCCUUUGGGAUGUACUGACGCUCAUGUGCGAAAAGCGUGGGGAGCAAAACAGGAUUAGAUACCCUGGUAGUCCACGCUGUAAACGCUGUCGAUUUGGGGAUUGGGCUUAAAAGCUUGGUGCCCGUAGCUAACGUGAUAAAUCGACCGCCUGGGGAGUACGGCCGCAAGGUUAAAAACUCAAAAUUAAUUGACGGGGGCCCGCACAAGCGGUGGAGCAUGUGGUUUAAUUCGAUGCAAACGCGAAGAACCUUACCUACUCUUGACAUCCAGAGAACUUUCCAGAGAUGGAUUGGUGCCUUCGGGAACUCUGAGACAGGUGCUGCAUGGCUGUCGUCAGCUCGUGUUGUGAAAUGUUGGGUUAAGUCCCGCAACGAGCGCAACCCUUAUCCUUUGUUGCCAGCGAUUUGGUCGGGAAACUCAAAGGAGACUGCCAGUGAUAAACUGGAGGAAGGUGGGGAUGACGUCAAGUCAUCAUGGCCCUUACGAGUAGGGCUACACACGUGCUACGAAUGGCGUAUACAGAGGGUGGCGAAAACUGCGAGGUGGAGCGAAUCUCAGAAAAGUACGUCUAAGUCCGGAUUGGAGUUCUGCGAACUCGAACUCCGUGAAAGUCGAAAUCGCUAGGAAUCGCGAAAUCAGAAAUGUCGCGGUAAAUACGUUCCCGGGCCUUGUCACACCGCCCGUC
RNAcentral lists this ribosomal RNA (1413 nucleotides) under uncultured bacterium. Its description in RNAcentral is "bacterial SSU rRNA". It matches the Rfam family "Bacterial small subunit ribosomal RNA". The record is from RNAcentral.